This 465-nucleotide ribosomal RNA is filed under the name uncultured bacterium. RNAcentral's name for it is "partial 16S ribosomal RNA". It matches the Rfam family "Bacterial small subunit ribosomal RNA", at positions 28 to 507 of the family's 1533-position model. The record is from RNAcentral.
GACGAACGCUGGCGGCGUGCUUAACACAUGCAAGUCGAACGGAAAGGCCCCUUUGGGGGUACUCGAGUGGCGAACGGGUGAGUAACACGUGAGUAACCUGCCCUUGACUUCGGGAUAACUUCAGGAAACUGGGGCUAAUACCGGAUAGGAAUCCUUGCUGCAUGGUGGGGGUUGGAAAGCUUCGGCGGUUUUGGAUGGACUCGCGGCUUAUCAGCUUGUUGGUGGGGUAGUGGCUUACCUAGGCUUUGACGGGUAGCCGGCCUGAGAGGGCGACCGGCCACAUUGGGACUGAGAUACGGCCCAGACUCCGACGGGAGGCAGAAGUGGGGAAUAUUGAACAAUGGGCGGAAGCCUGAUGCAGCAACGCCGCGGGCGGGAGGACGGCCUUCGGGUUGUAAACCGCUUUCAGCAGGGGCGAAGCUUGUGGUGACGGUACCUGCAGAAGAAGCACCGGCUAACUACGUG